UAUUGCUGAAUACUGUGCAAUUGAAAAUUUCUUGCUAUUGCACAAUACUUUAUAUAAUUAUUUUGGAUCCUGAUUUGAACCAACUUGAAAACUGGGCCCAUAAUCAACCAGAUGCUCCACAGGGCGCAGCUUUAUACGACCGCAGAGGUUGAACCCUGAACGGUUGGGGCAAGUAUGGACACAACAUUCAAGCUGGAUUCAGCUCUAAAUUUGGAUUGUGAUUAAAUAGUUGACACAGCAUAGGUUUCUGACACAGAAUGAAUGUGGUCUAAUGAACUUAAAAUAUUUUUUUUGCCUUUGAGCAAUUCACUAUGCUGUUGAAUAUUAAUCCUCUCAAAAAAAUGUUUGAAGAAAUUUUCUUUUUAUUUAUGAAAUCUGAAAUGAGAAAAAUUUAACCCCCCCCCUUUUUUUUCACAUCCCCCUUUCCCUUUUUCCAAAACUGAUCUCAAUUCAAAUUUCUAAUGGAGUUUGCAACAAUAACUACUCAUUUAAAUACAUCAUAAAAUAUUAAAAUGUAAAAAAAGGUGCUUGUUAUCACUGAAUGGUAAAGAUUGUUUUAAUUUAUCAGUUGGUAGUAAAAGUGAAUAUACAUUGUAUAUUGUAUAAAAC
RNAcentral lists this long non-coding RNA (609 nucleotides) under Mytilus galloprovincialis (Mediterranean mussel). Lineage: Eukaryota; Metazoa; Mollusca; Bivalvia; Mytilida; Mytilidae. The record is from RNAcentral.